This 240-nucleotide ribosomal RNA is filed under the name uncultured bacterium. RNAcentral's name for it is "partial 16S ribosomal RNA". It matches the Rfam family "Bacterial small subunit ribosomal RNA", at positions 95 to 334 of the family's 1533-position model. The record is from RNAcentral.
CCGGCGCACGGGUGAGUAACGCGUAUGCAACUUGCCUAUCAGGAGGGGAUAACCCGGCGAAAGUCGGACUAAUACCGCAUGAAGCAGGGGCCCCGCAUGGGGAUAUUUGCUAAAGAUUCAUCGCUGAUAGAUAGGCAUGCGUUCCAUUAGGCAGUUGGCGGGGUAACGGCCCACCAAACCGACGAUGGAUAGGGGUUCUGAGAGGAAGGUCCCCCACAUUGGAACUGAGACACGGUCCAA